Molecule: ribosomal RNA, 523 nt
Filed under: uncultured bacterium
Lineage: Bacteria
Description: bacterial SSU rRNA
Rfam family: Bacterial small subunit ribosomal RNA
Source: RNAcentral
GAGUUUGAUCCUGGCUCAGGAUGAACGCUAGCGGCAGGCUUAACACAUGCAAGUCGAGGGGUAACAGGGAUUGCUUGCAAUCCGCUGACGACCGGCGCACGGGUGCGUAACGCGUAUGCAACCUACCUUCUACAGGGGGAUAGUCAAUAGAAAUGUUGAAUAAUACCCCAUACGAUCUUUGAAUAGCAUUAUUUAAAGAAGAAAGUUCCGGCGGUAGAAGAUGGGCAUGCGUCCUAUUAGUUAGUUGGAGAGGUAACGGCUCCCCAAGACAUCGAUAGGUAGGGGUCCUGAGAGGGAGACCCCCCACACUGGUACUGAGACACGGACCAGACUCCUACGGGAGGCAGCAGUGAGGAAUAUUGGACAAUGGAGGCAACUCUGAUCCAGCCAUGCCGCGUGCAGGAAGACUGCCCUAUGGGUUGUAAACUGCUUUUAUACAGGAAGAAAUGUACCUACGUGUAGGUAUUUGACGGUACUGUACGAAUAAGGAUCGGCUAACUCCGUGCCAGCAGCCGCGGUAAUA